RNAcentral lists this ribosomal RNA (466 nucleotides) under uncultured bacterium. RNAcentral's name for it is "bacterial SSU rRNA". It matches the Rfam family "Bacterial small subunit ribosomal RNA", at positions 328 to 792 of the family's 1533-position model. The record is from RNAcentral.
UGGCCAGACUCCUACGGGAGGCAGCAGUGAGGAAUAUUGGUCAAUGGCCGGAAGGCUGAACCAGCCAAGCCGCGUGAAGGACGAAGGUGCCAAGCAUUGUAAACUUCUUUUGUCAAGGGACAAAAUCAGGCUCGAGAGCCUGACCGAGGGUACUUGAAGAAAAAGCAUCGGCUAACUCCGUGCCAGCAGCCGCGGUAAUACGGAGGAUGCGAGCGUUAUCCGGAUUUAUUGGGUUUAAAGGGUGCGUAGGCGGCCUGUUAGGUCAGCGAGAAAGCCCGGGGCCCCACCCCCGGCGAGCCGUUGAAACUGGCCGUCUUGAGAUGUCGAGAGGUAUGCGGAAUGCGCAGUGUAGCGGUGAAAUGCUUAGAUAUUGCGCAGAACUCCGAUUGCGAAGGCAGCAUACCGGCGGCGAUCUGACGCUGAGGCACGAAAGCGUGGGUAUCGAACAGGAUUAGAUACCCCGGUA